This 317-nucleotide long non-coding RNA is filed under the name Hordeum vulgare. RNAcentral describes it as "long non-coding RNA (HVUL_LNC009441)". Lineage: Eukaryota; Viridiplantae; Streptophyta; Magnoliopsida; Poales; Poaceae. The record is from RNAcentral.
AAACAAUCAACUUCCAAACUUCAAUCAAACAGGGACCAAUCAGACUUGAAGCACUACAACAGGAAUUAGUUGACAAAAUGAUUGUAUCAACUUUGAGACAUGAAUCAAACACGGAGCAAUCAGUCUUGAAGCACUACAGUACAAAUCAAUUGACAAAUUACUCUAUCAACUUUCAGAUUUGAAGAACUACAGACGUAAAUCAACUUUCAGAAUCUAUUACAUACUAAUAAUGUAAAUGCAGAGUAUGUGACACAACUAUAUAGGGAUUGAGGGGGACUUAUAAUCUGCACAUUGGUGUCAUCAGUAAUUAUUGUUUG